CCUACGGGAGGCAGCAGUGAGGAAUAUUGGUCAAUGGGCGGGAGCCUGAACCAGCCAAGUCGCGUGAGGGAAGACGGUCCUAUGGAUUGUAAACCUCUUUAGGCGGGGAGCAAUGCAGGGCACGCGUGCCCGGAGGGAGAGUACCCGCAGAAUAAGCAUCGGCUAACUCCGUGCCAGCAGCCGCGGUACUACGGAGGCUGCGAGCUUUACCCGGAUGUAUUGGGUUUAAAGGGUGCGUAGGCGGAUUUUUAAGUCAGCGGUAAAAUGUCCGGGCUCAACCCGGGCCGGCCGUUGAAACUGGGGAUCUUGAGUGGGCGAGAAGGAUGCGGAAUGCGUGGUGUAGCGGUGAAAUGCAUAGAUAUUAGGAGGAACACCAGUGGCGAAGGCGGCCUGCUGGACGACAACUGACGGUGAGGCGCGAAAGCGUGGGGAGCAAACAGGAUUAGAUACCCUAGUAGUC
Molecule: ribosomal RNA, 460 nt
Filed under: uncultured bacterium
Lineage: Bacteria
Description: partial 16S ribosomal RNA
Rfam family: Bacterial small subunit ribosomal RNA
Source: RNAcentral